CGUCCUUUCCUCUUCGGUCUUUUUUAUUCCAAUCUUUCUUUACUUACUUAGUACGUGAUUUUUACCCUCUUAACGUUGCAGUCGGUUUUUGGUUUUGCGUCGUGGUGCAUUUGUAUUUCGGAAGUUGAACGGUUUGCAUGUGAGUAAAUGGGCGUAUGCGUUUGACGACCUAAUCAGUUUAUACUUGUCUAGAAAGCAGAGUGCUGCAGCUGUCCCCUCAGAGUUCUUCUUCCUUCCGCCACCGCCACCGCCACCACCCCCUUCAUCUUCCUUCCGCGACUCCUCCUCCCCUUCCCCUUUCUUCCUCCCUCCCCCGCCACGCCCAACGUCCACUCAAGAUGGUCAUGCCCAUUAUUCUUCAGAAAGAUAGGAAAAUUAUAAGCGCCGUGAAGUGCUUAGACCCGCCUUUUGAAUUGCCACAAGAGUUGAACAUAACUUCUCUAGUUUCAACAAAAAAGAUAUCUAACCUUUCAAA
Molecule: long non-coding RNA, 475 nt
Organism: Glycine soja
Lineage: Eukaryota; Viridiplantae; Streptophyta; Magnoliopsida; Fabales; Fabaceae
Exons: 4
Source: RefSeq, a predicted model, not a curated record